RNAcentral lists this transfer RNA (93 nucleotides) under Serratia marcescens. RNAcentral describes it as "tRNA-Ile(gat)". It matches the Rfam family "tRNA". From Rfam's summary of the family: Transfer RNA (tRNA) molecules are approximately 80 nucleotides in length. Their secondary structure includes four short double-helical elements and three loops (D, anti-codon, and T loops). The record is from RNAcentral. Lineage: Bacteria; Pseudomonadati; Pseudomonadota; Gammaproteobacteria; Enterobacterales; Yersiniaceae. RNAcentral also lists the same sequence under 1 other name.
UGGAAGGUUGGCCGAGUGGCUUAAGGCACCUCAUUGAUACUGAGGCGUGCGGGUUUAACCCCGCACCGCGGGUUCGAAUCCCGCACCUAUUAG